This 484-nucleotide ribosomal RNA is filed under the name uncultured bacterium. RNAcentral's name for it is "partial 16S ribosomal RNA". It matches the Rfam family "Bacterial small subunit ribosomal RNA", at positions 30 to 507 of the family's 1533-position model. The record is from RNAcentral.
AUUGAACGCUGGCGGCAGGCCUAACACAUGCAGGUCGAGCGGAUGAAGGGAGCUUGCUCCUGGAUUCAGCGGCGGACGGGUGAGUAAUGCCUAGGAAUCUGCCUGGUGGUGGGGGAUAACGUCCGGAAACGGGCGCUAAUACCGCAUACGUCCUGAGGGAGAAAGUGGGGGAUCUUCGGACCUCACGCUAUCAGAUGAGCCUAGGUCGGAUUAGCUAGUUGGUGGGGUAAAGGCCUACCAAGGCGACGAUCCGUAACUGGUCUGAGAGGAUGAUCAGUCACACUGGAACUGAGACACGGUCCAGACUCCUACGGGAGGCAGCAGUGGGGAAUAUUGGACAAUGGGCGAAAGCCUGAUCCAGCCAUGCCGCGUGUGUGAAGAAGGUCUUCGGAUUGUAAAGCACUUUAAGUUGGGAGGAAGGGCAGUAAGUUAAUACCUUGCUGUUUUGACGUUACCAACAGAAUAAGCACCGGCUAACUUCGUG